UACACUUGCUUACUGCUGUU
This 20-nucleotide unclassified non-coding RNA is filed under the name Mus musculus (house mouse). RNAcentral's name for it is "oocyte_clustered_small_RNA7606". The record is from RNAcentral. Lineage: Eukaryota; Metazoa; Chordata; Mammalia; Rodentia; Muridae.